AUACUUACCUGGCAAGGGAGAUACUGUGAUCAAGAAGGUAGUUCACCCAGGGCGAGGCUCAGCCAUUGCACUCUGGCUGUGCUGACCCCUGCGAAUUUCCCAAAUGUGGAAAUCUCGAUUGCAUAAUUUAUGGUAGUGGGGGACUGGGUUCGUGCUCUCCCCUG
Oncorhynchus mykiss (rainbow trout) is the source of this 164-nucleotide small nuclear RNA. Its record names the gene U1. It matches the Rfam family "U1 spliceosomal RNA". From Rfam's summary of the family: U1 is a small nuclear RNA (snRNA) component of the spliceosome (involved in pre-mRNA splicing). Its 5' end forms complementary base pairs with the 5' splice junction, thus defining the 5' donor site of an intron. There are significant differences in sequence and secondary structure between metazoan and yeast U1 snRNAs, the latter being much longer (568 nucleotides as compared to 164 nucleotides in human). The record is from Ensembl. Lineage: Eukaryota; Metazoa; Chordata; Actinopteri; Salmoniformes; Salmonidae.